This 228-nucleotide ribosomal RNA is filed under the name Triticum aestivum (bread wheat). RNAcentral's name for it is "partial small subunit ribosomal RNA". Lineage: Eukaryota; Viridiplantae; Streptophyta; Magnoliopsida; Poales; Poaceae. The record is from RNAcentral.
AUGGACCAUUCCAUCCCUUUUUCCCGUGCAUAUGCAUCGGACUCGGAUGACGAUGGUCCCGAUGAACAAGUUGAUGCGGAGGGGUUCACGGUGAAGGAGGCCGAAGCUUUCGAGAAGGUAUUUGGUCGGGAUCAUCGGACUACAUUGUUCAAGGAUGUUAGUCUUGCGGAUGAAGCCGUGGUAGAUGGUGGUCAAUGUGUACCUCUUGGGGUUAGGCCAAGCUCUCAC